Molecule: transfer RNA, 483 nt
Filed under: Gloeocapsopsis crepidinum LEGE 06123
Lineage: Bacteria; Bacillati; Cyanobacteriota; Cyanophyceae; Chroococcidiopsidales; Chroococcidiopsidaceae
Description: 16S-23S ribosomal RNA intergenic spacer
Rfam family: tRNA (bases 120-193)
Source: RNAcentral
UUAGGGAGACCUACCCAACAGUUGUUGUGGAAGAGACAACAAUUGUCAGGUCAACCAAGGUCGUUCGAGGACUGAUGUGAGGCUUUCAAACUAGAGUUCGGUUCAGAGAAACCGAGUCGGGGCUAUUAGCUCAGGUGGUUAGAGCGCACCCCUGAUAAGGGUGAGGUCCCUGGUUCGAGUCCAGGAUGGCCCACCUGAAAGUAAGCAAAGCACAGUAGUGGAAAGACAAGUUAAAUUGAGUUCAAAAAGUUUAGCUUUAAUUUAUUGACGUCUUCAAGCGAAAGUGAUAAGCUAGAAAAGUUGAGAAAAUUCAGCACUGAGGCAAAAAGCCAAGCUGCUGGAAUAUCUCCAGCCAGAACCUUGAAGACUGCAUAAUCAUGCCAAUUAAAUUAAUUGCAGGUAGGUCAAACUAACUAAUGCAAAUUAAGCUUAGUUAGAUUUCCUAUAAGCCUAAAAAUCAACCACUGACAUAGUAACAAAAGU